UACGAAGGGGGCGAGCGUUGUUCGGAAUCACUGGGCUUAAAGCGUACGUAGGCGGAUUUACAAGUCAGGAGUGAAAUCCCAGGGCUUAACCCUGGAAUUGCUUUUGAAACUGUGAGUCUGGAAUCCGGUAGAGGUUGGCGGAACUCCGAGUGUAGAGGUGAAAUUCGCAGAUAUUCGGAAGAACACCAGUGGCGAAGGCGGCCAACUGGACCGGUAUUGACGCUGAGGUACGAAAGCGUGGGUAGCAAACACG
This 253-nucleotide ribosomal RNA is filed under the name uncultured bacterium. RNAcentral describes it as "partial 16S ribosomal RNA". It matches the Rfam family "Bacterial small subunit ribosomal RNA", at positions 524 to 776 of the family's 1533-position model. The record is from RNAcentral.